RNAcentral lists this transfer RNA (71 nucleotides) under Candidatus Woesearchaeota archaeon. RNAcentral describes it as "tRNA-Ala". It matches the Rfam family "tRNA". Rfam says of the family: Transfer RNA (tRNA) molecules are approximately 80 nucleotides in length. Their secondary structure includes four short double-helical elements and three loops (D, anti-codon, and T loops). Lineage: Archaea; Nanobdellati; Candidatus Woesearchaeota. The record is from RNAcentral.
GGGCUGGUGGUGCAAUGGUAGCAUACUGCCUUCGCAAGGCAGCAAUGUGAGUUCGACUCUCAUCCAGUCCA